UACGGAGGAUCCGAGCGUUAUCCGGAUUUAUUGGGUUUAAAGGGUGCUCAGGCGGGCCAUUAAGUCGGCGGUGAAAUUUUGCGGCUCAACCGUAAAAGUGCCUUCGAUACUGGUGGUCUUGAGUGUGGAUGAGGUAGGCGGAAUUUGUGGUGUAGCGGUGAAAUGCAUAGAUAUCACGAGGAACUCCGAUUGCGCAGGCAGCUUACUAAACUACUACUGACGCUCAGGCACGAAGGCGUGGGGAUCAAACAGGAUUAGAUACCCGGGUAGUCCCU
Molecule: ribosomal RNA, 275 nt
Filed under: uncultured prokaryote
Description: partial 16S ribosomal RNA
Rfam family: Bacterial small subunit ribosomal RNA
Source: RNAcentral